GAAACUAACAUGUAAACGUCAACUGACAUGUACGUUAGGAGAAACUAGCUAGCUAAAGUGUUUAAAAAGCAACAAAAGCUAAUUUAUACGUCGUGUAGCGAGCAAUUUAGAGGGUUAUUAGUAUUGUUCGGUUAGCUUAAGUUUAGCUAACGUUAGCUAGUUUACACUGUGGAUGUUUUACGUCCAACUCUUUUCAAUAUAAAUGAGCAACUAGCCAGCUAAACUGUUGAAAAAGCUAAUUUACACCAUUUAUUUCGUGUAGACAACUUGUUAGCGAGCAAUUUAGAGGUUUAUUAGUCUUGUUAGGUUAGCUUAAAGUUAGCUAACGUUAACUAGUUUACACUAUGGAUGUUUUACGUCCAGCUCUUAUAAAUAUACAUGGAAGAAUAUACCGAAGGAAUGUCAUUAAGGAAGAACAUUAUGAGGAAGAGGAAGAUAUGUCUUACAUGGGACCACCAGAGAGUGAAGACUUUGCAGAAGAUGAAUCCUGUGAUGCCAACUUCAUUGAGCAGACUGAUAAGGGAUACCGCUGUGCCAUUGAUGUGCCAAGUGUCCUUUACAAAUACAUCAUUGGGAAAAAAGGAGAGACACGCAGACGCCUGGAGUUUGAUACAAAGACAUCUAUCAGCAUCCCCAAACAAGGAGUGGAAGGACAGAUAGUUAUCACAGGUUCCCACAAAUCUGCGGUCUCAUCUGCAGUCACACGAGUCGAGGUCCUCAUUGAGAGUUUCCGGAAGAAGCAGCCUUUCACGCACUUCCUGUCAUUCCCUCUGAACGAUCCCAAAAUUCAAGAAGGAUUCCUGAGCUUUAAAGACGAGGUGUUGAAGCAGUGCUCACAGGAUCAUGGAGUAGAUGGAAGCAUCUUUCAGAACGCCGCAAAGCUUCACCUGACCAUCGGCACCCUGGCUCUGUUGAAUGACACAGAAGUGAGAAAAGCAUGUGAACACCUUCAGGAGUGUCAAAAUGUCAUCAGGGACAUCACAGAAGGGAAUCCACUGCAGGUGGAGGUGACGGGUAUAGAGUACAUGAACGAUGACCCAGCCAUGGUGGACGUCUUGUAUGCCAAAGUCAAUGUGAAAGACAAGUCAGACAAGCUGCAGGUGAUUGCAGACCAGCUGGUAGAGCACUUUGUCUCAGCGGGGCUGAUGGUCCGAGAUUGGGACAAGGUGAAGCUGCACGGCACUGUGAUGAACACUCUGUUCAGAAAGGACUCCACAGUUGAAGACACGGGCGGCCCCGGAAGACAAGCCAUGAGUGAAAGAGAGGCUUUUGACGCCAGAAACAUUUUAAAGAAAUUUGGCACAUACCAUUUUGGAGAGUUUGAGCUGAACACUGUUCUGCUGUCCCAGAGAUACUCGACAGAUUGUACGGGCUACUACACCUCUGCAGGAAGUGCCAGCUUCUCAUGAGCUUCAUCAGGGCUGAGCAGACUCUCAGUGACAUGAUUAAGGAUGCGCUGGGCAGAUGUCUUCACUAAUGAUGGUCAUGGAUGAGGAUUUCCCAUCAGAUGAUGAACACGAACGGACUCACAACAACGUCUCUUUGCAUCUUUGCUGAAUCUUGUUGAAAUCAGUUGGAAAAUGAACAUUUGUUUGGGUUGUGUUUUUCUUUCAUGGUGACAGGAGGUGCUACAUUUUAACAUUCUGCUUAAAUCUGGCGAGGAUGAAUAAAUAAAUGUGUAAAGCA
Molecule: RNA transcript, 1686 nt
Organism: Epinephelus fuscoguttatus (brown-marbled grouper)
Lineage: Eukaryota; Metazoa; Chordata; Actinopteri; Perciformes; Serranidae
Gene: ascc1
Gene name: activating signal cointegrator 1 complex subunit 1
Exons: 11
Source: RefSeq, a predicted model, not a curated record